AGGCCCGGAGAGAGAAGCAGGGUCUGAUCUGCAGCCUCCGCGGCAGCUGUUGAUCAGCCCUUGCCUCUCUGUCUCUCCA
Myotis davidii is the source of this 79-nucleotide non-coding RNA. The record is from Rfam. NCBI's taxonomy places the organism in Eukaryota, Metazoa, Chordata, Mammalia, Chiroptera, Vespertilionidae.